RNAcentral lists this unclassified non-coding RNA (421 nucleotides) under Hevea brasiliensis (rubber tree). Lineage: Eukaryota; Viridiplantae; Streptophyta; Magnoliopsida; Malpighiales; Euphorbiaceae. The record is from RNAcentral.
ACAGUUAGUGAAAUUCCUACAAAGACUGACCUUAUGCCUUCUGGUAAGGGUGAGAGUUCAGUGACUUUGCCUGUUACAGAACAAACAGCCUAUAAAGAUACUAUUCCCAAAGGGCACCAAGGCGAAUCUCUGGUGAACUUUAAGCCUUCUGUAGCGGAUGGCCAAGAAAAUGUUUCUGUCACAAAGCUGGACCAAGCUGUAGGUGGUCAACAAGCACAGGUUUUUGGUCAGCAAAGUGCUGAAGUUGGGCAGUCAUCUUUGAGGAAUUCACCCCUAGAGGGGCCUAGCUAUUUUGACAAGCAUCCUAGCAAAGCAGAAACUCAAAAAAUUACUGAAUUUAGAUCUGGUCCUGCUUCUUUCUCAAAGAAAGUUCCUUCAGAUGUCCCCAGCCAAAAAAGUGUUGACCUGCCUGUGGAUUCAC